RNAcentral lists this small RNA (162 nucleotides) under human gut metagenome. Its description in RNAcentral is "Clostridiales-1 RNA". It matches the Rfam family "Clostridiales-1 RNA". The record is from RNAcentral.
GAUACAAGGGGCAAAAGGUCAGAACUCGUUCCUGCCUGCAGGAUAAGAGCUCUGACUUGCUGACUCGCACACACAUGAGGAAGUAGUGAUUUUCCUGGGAAAAUCAACGGAUUCCGAAUGUGUGUAGAAUUGCGGGAGUUGCAUAGCAACGGAGCAAUUUGU